Molecule: ribosomal RNA, 253 nt
Filed under: uncultured bacterium
Lineage: Bacteria
Description: partial 16S ribosomal RNA
Rfam family: Bacterial small subunit ribosomal RNA
Source: RNAcentral
UACGUAGGGUGCGAGCGUUGUCCGGAAUUAUUGGGCGUAAAGGGCUCGUAGGCGGUUUGUUGCGUCGGGAGUGAAAACACUGGGCUUAACCGAGUGCUUGCUUUCGAUACGGGCAGACUUGAGGCAUUGAGGGGAGAACGGAAUUCCUGGUGUAGCGGUGAAAUGCGCAGAUAUCAGGAGGAACACCGGUGGCGAAGGCGGUUCUCUGGCAAUGUUCUGACGCUGAGGAGCGAAAGUGUGGGAGGCGAACAGG